RNAcentral lists this long non-coding RNA (433 nucleotides) under Callithrix jacchus (white-tufted-ear marmoset). RNAcentral describes it as "lncRNA (ENSCJAG00000064747.2)". The record is from RNAcentral. Lineage: Eukaryota; Metazoa; Chordata; Mammalia; Primates; Cebidae.
CUCCGUGCCGGGGUGAAGUCCGCGAGCCCGGGACAGCUGCAGCCAGACCCUCACCCUCUCAGACUGGGACGGCUCUCCCUGCCCGCCUCUGCUCUGCUGUGACUUCGCUGUGCUUCUGCGGGAGAAAACGCUAUAAGUGACUCCAUGUAUAUCUGUAAAAAUAAAUGCCCGCUGCUAUGACUAUUCAGGUGAACAGGUGACAGGCGAUCUUCAGAAAGAAGCGAAGAGUCUGGGGGUCAUCACCAUUCCACAGGCCUAAGCAGUGAAGGCGUGAACUCUGAAGCAGAAGCUGUAGUCUCUGCAAGUUGGUUUUUAAUCUAGGAGGAUGCCACGAGUCACCAGGACACAUUUCAGGUUCAUGGUCCCAUCCAAGGCGUUGCAAACCCGUUCCUAUCAACCAGAUGUGUCUGGGCUGGAGCCUGAGAAUUUGCAU